Molecule: ribosomal RNA, 253 nt
Filed under: uncultured bacterium
Lineage: Bacteria
Description: partial 16S ribosomal RNA
Rfam family: Bacterial small subunit ribosomal RNA
Source: RNAcentral
UACGUAGGUGGCAAGCGUUGUCCGGAUUUACUGGGCGUAAAGAGCGCACAGGCGGCUGGCCAAGUCCGAUGUGAAAUCUCCCGGCUUAACUGGGAAACUGCAUCGGAAACUGACCGGCUUGAAGGUGGGAGAGGCUGGUGGAAUUCCCGGAGUAGUGGUGAAAUGCGUAGAUAUCGGGAGGAACACCGGUGGCGAAGGCGGCCAGCUGGCGCUGACCUGACGCUGAGGCGCGAAGGCUUGGGGAGCGAACGGG